RNAcentral lists this ribosomal RNA (487 nucleotides) under uncultured bacterium. RNAcentral's name for it is "bacterial SSU rRNA". It matches the Rfam family "Bacterial small subunit ribosomal RNA", at positions 15 to 518 of the family's 1533-position model. The record is from RNAcentral.
GAUUAUGGCUCAGGACGAACGCUGGCGGCAUGCCUAACACAUGCAAGUCGAACGGAGUAAUGACUUCGGUUAUACUAGUGGCGAACGGGUGAGUAACACGUGAAUAAUCUGCCCUGUACGAUGGGAUAACAGCUGGAAACGGCUGCUAAUACCGUAUAUGACCACGCCGAGGCAUCUCGGAGGGGUGAAAGCGCUUAAGCGGUACAGGAUGAGUUCGCGUCCAAUUAGCUAGUUGGUGAGGUAACGGCCCACCAAGGCGACGAUUGGUAGCCGACCUGAGAGGGUGAUCGGCCACACUGGAACUGAGACACGGUCCAGACUCCUACGGGAGGCAGCAGUGGGGAAUAUUGGGCAAUGGAGGAAACUCUUACCCAAGCAAUGCCGCGUGAGUGAUGAAGGUCUUCGGAUUGUAAAGCUCUUUGAUUGGGGACGAAUAAAUGACGGUACCCAAGGAACAAGCCCCGGCUAACUAUGUGCCAGCCGCCGC